UACGUAGGUGGCAAGCGUUGUUCGGAAUUACUGGGCGUAAAGCGCGCGUAGGCGGCUCUUCAAGUCAGGCGUGAAAGCCCCCGAGCUUAACUCGGGAACUGCGCUUGAUACUGUCGAGCUAGAGUGUGGAAGGGGCGAUUGGAAUUCCGUGUGUAGCGGUGAAAUGCGUAGAUAUACGGAGGAACACCAGGGGCGAAGGCGGAUCGCUGGGCCAACACUGACGCUGAUGUGCGAAAGCUAGGGGAGCAAACGGG
Molecule: ribosomal RNA, 254 nt
Filed under: uncultured bacterium
Lineage: Bacteria
Description: partial 16S ribosomal RNA
Rfam family: Bacterial small subunit ribosomal RNA
Source: RNAcentral